Dromaius novaehollandiae (emu) is the source of this 1342-nucleotide long non-coding RNA. RefSeq lists it as uncharacterized. The transcript has 3 exons. NCBI's taxonomy places the organism in Eukaryota, Metazoa, Chordata, Aves, Casuariiformes, Dromaiidae. The record is from RefSeq and is a predicted model, not a curated record.
ACACAGUAAGCCAAUGGCAAGGUCUGCAGACACAGGCAUUCCUGUGUUCAGGAAUUUUCACACUAAGAGCAUCACUUCUGAAGUGCAACACUACAGCUUACAAUAACCUACCACAGAUCAAACUGUGCAAUUCGAGUGCAACUGACUCCAGUGAAAGAGGAGGAUACCAUGCAUCUGUCCUUCUCCGGGAUAAUGUAAAAUUGGAGACGAAGAAAUCCAUCAUAAUGAGAUCUGUAGGGAAGCCCACCCUUAGGUCUUUUGGCUGCUGUCCUGCUGCUUAUGAAGGAAGAAAAUUCUGCUUACCACUGUGUCAGCAUGUUGCAGCUUCAUGGAAGACAGAGGCAGUUUAGGAUGUGCUGAGUGGAUGCGCUUGGUUAUGCCCAGCUUUCUGGGUCUGUUAUCCUCAGGAUGAUCAGUUUUAUGACCUGGGAAGUGCAAGUGGCCAGGGUUUGCCAGACCAGCCUGAAAUUGCUCCUGCCACUGGGCAAGGUUUAAUGGUGAAGUAAGAUGAACUAAAGAAAUUCCUCAUUGCAUUUGGAAAGAAACAAAUAAAUGACGAAGACAAGACUCUAAUAGUUAUCUACAUGUCAGUGUAAAGUUAUGAUCUUCUAUAUGUGUAGCCAGCCCACAGAGCUGAGAAGUCUAGUGGAGAGAAGGGUUUUGCAGGAUAUAGAGCUGGGGUCCUGGAGAAUGAUCUUUGAGGCGUUCCCCUCAGUGUCAGUUCAGUGGCCACCCAAGGUCAGCUGUACUUUGGCUGGCGUUUCCCUUUAUGAAUUCUUCUAGUCAUGGAAGGAACUUAGGCUAAAUGCACCCCUGUUAUUUUUCUGCAACCUUGAUAGUCAGUCAAAUUAAGGUAUUAAACUUAUCUUGCUACCUGUGAAAUACAGUCUAUCACAAUAUAUUUUCUGAUAGUUGAAAGUGUUUUUCUGAAGCGCAUCCCUGAAGCUAGGCAUCUCUCAAAAAGGUAGAGCAGCCAAAUAAGGUCCUUUCAUGCUGUACAGAUGUGCCUUUUUCUGGAAUGGUUUGUAAGAUAAAUUCUGAAUUAUCAUAGCAAGUUUGCUCUAGUGCCUAACUUUUAUACUAAAUCUGUAGAGAGUGGUUGUGAAAUUUUAUUAGAAAUGUUAUUAUAAGGAAUACAGGCUUAUGUCUUGUUUAUGUAGAGACUGAACUUGAUAAGUAACAAGACGAACUUGAGAACAGUGGUGGUUUGGGAAUAUAUGACAGAACACAACCACCCAUCAUAUGUAAUGUUAUUUUUUCUGGUAGAGCAGGGAAUACGGUGGACUAAUAGAAUCUUAAUAAAAGCUGAAUGCUGUGCACCAGUUCCUCAUCUUUCUCAUGC